GGGGUUGAAGCUCAGUGGUAGAGCACUUGCCUUUCACGUGUGAGGCCCUGGGUUCAAUCCCCAGCACCA
Molecule: transfer RNA, 69 nt
Filed under: Urocitellus parryii (Arctic ground squirrel)
Lineage: Eukaryota; Metazoa; Chordata; Mammalia; Rodentia; Sciuridae
Also listed under: 1 other name
Description: Spermophilus parryii (Arctic ground squirrel) tRNA
Rfam family: tRNA
About the family: Transfer RNA (tRNA) molecules are approximately 80 nucleotides in length. Their secondary structure includes four short double-helical elements and three loops (D, anti-codon, and T loops). Further hydrogen bonds mediate the characteristic L-shaped molecular structure. tRNAs have two regions of fundamental functional importance: the anti-codon, which is responsible for specific mRNA codon recognition, and the 3' end, to which the tRNAs corresponding amino acid is attached (by aminoacyl-tRNA synthetases). tRNAs cope with the degeneracy of the genetic code in two manners: having more than one tRNA (with a specific anti-codon) for a particular amino acid; and 'wobble' base-pairing, i.e. permitting non-standard base-pairing at the 3rd anti-codon position.
Source: Rfam by way of RNAcentral